UACAGAGGGUGCGAGCGUUGUUCGGAAUUAUUGGGCGUAAAGGGCGCGUAGGCGGUGCGGUAAGUCACCUGUGAAAUCUCCUGGCUCAACUGGGAGCUUGCAGGCGAAACUGCCGUGCUGGAGUGUGGGAGAGGUGCGUGGAAUUCCCGGUGUAGCGGUGAAAUGCGUAGAUAUCGGGAAGAACACCCGUGGCGAAGGCGGCACUCUGGGACGGUACUGACGCUGAGACGCGAAAGCGUGGGGAGCGAACAGG
This 253-nucleotide ribosomal RNA is filed under the name uncultured bacterium. RNAcentral describes it as "partial 16S ribosomal RNA". It matches the Rfam family "Bacterial small subunit ribosomal RNA", at positions 524 to 776 of the family's 1533-position model. The record is from RNAcentral.